AAUGAACGCUGGCGGCAGGCCUAACACAUGCAAGUCGAGCGAGCGGCGGACGGGGGAGUAAUGUCUGGGAAACUGCCUGAUGGAGGGGGAUAACUACUGGAAACGGUAGCUAAUACCGCAUACCAUACGAUGUGCCCAGAUGGGAUUAGCUAGUAGGUGGGGUAACGGCUCACCUAGGCGACGAUCCCUGGCUGGUCGGAGAGGAUGACAAGCCACACUGGAACUGAGACGCGGUCCAGACUCCUACGGGAGGCAGCGGUGGGGAAUAUUGCACAAUGGGCGCAAGCCUGAUGCAGCCAUGCCGCGUGUGUGAAGCAGGCCUUCGGGUUGUAAAGCACUUUCAGCGGGGAGGCGUUACCCGCAGAAGAAGCACCGGCUAACUCCGUGCCAGCCGCCGCGGUAAUAC
RNAcentral lists this ribosomal RNA (406 nucleotides) under uncultured bacterium. Its description in RNAcentral is "partial 16S ribosomal RNA". It matches the Rfam family "Bacterial small subunit ribosomal RNA", at positions 29 to 526 of the family's 1533-position model. The record is from RNAcentral.